CCCCAGACUCCUACGGGAGGCAGCAGUGGGGAAUAUUGCACAAUGGGGGAAACCCUGAUGCAGCGACGCCGCGUGAGUGAAGAAGUAUUUCGGUAUGUAAAGCUCUAUCAGCAGGGAAGAAAAUGACGGUACCUGACUAAGAAGCCCCGGCUAACUACGUGCCAGCAGCCGCGGUAAUACGUAGGGGGCAAGCGUUAUCCGGAUUUACUGGGUGUAAAGGGAGCGUAGACGGCAUGGCAAGUCAGAUGUGAAAGCCCGGGGCUCAACCCCGGGACUGCAUUUGAAACUGUCAGGCUGGAGUGCAGGAGAGGUAAGUGGAAUUCCUAGUGUAGCGGUGAAAUGCGUAGAUAUUAGGAGGAACACCAGUGGCGAAGGCGGCUUACUGGACUGUAACUGACACUGAGGUACGAAAGCGUGGGGAGCAAACAGGAUUAGAUACCCUAGUA
RNAcentral lists this ribosomal RNA (446 nucleotides) under uncultured bacterium. RNAcentral's name for it is "bacterial SSU rRNA". It matches the Rfam family "Bacterial small subunit ribosomal RNA", at positions 329 to 792 of the family's 1533-position model. The record is from RNAcentral.